RNAcentral lists this ribosomal RNA (267 nucleotides) under uncultured soil bacterium. Its description in RNAcentral is "partial 16S ribosomal RNA". It matches the Rfam family "Bacterial small subunit ribosomal RNA", at positions 26 to 281 of the family's 1533-position model. The record is from RNAcentral.
AGAAUCAACGCUGGCGGCGUGCCUAACACAUGCAAGUCGAACGCGGUUACCCCGCAAGGGGUAACUGAGUGGCGAACGGGUGAGUAACACGUGGGUGACCUACCUUCGAGUGGGGGAUAACGUCCCGAAAGGGACGCUAAUACCGCAUAACAUCCUGCCUUUGAACAGGUGGAGAUCAAAGCCGGGGAUCGCAAGACCUGGCGCUUGAUGAGGGGCCCGCGUCCGAUUAGCUAGUUGGUGGGGUAAUGGCUCACCAAGGCGACGAUC